CUGGCUCAGAACGAACGCUGGCGGCGUGCUUAACACAUGCAAGUCGAACGCGAAAGGGACUUCGGUCCUGAGUAAAGUGGCGCACGGGUGAGUAACGCGUAGAUAACCUGUCUUCAUGUCUGGAAUAAUACGCCAAAGGGGUACUAAUACCGGAUAUUCUUGCUUUUCAUAAGUUAUGCAAGCAAAGGUGGCCUCUGCAUAUGCUACUGCAUGAAGAGGGGUCUGCGUACCAUUAGCUAGUAGGUGGGGUAAUGGCCUACCUAGGCGACGAUGGUUAGCGGGUCUGAGAGGAUGAUCCGCCACACUGGCACUGGAACACGGGCCAGACUCCUACGGGAGGCAGCAGUGAGGAAUAUUGCGCAAUGGGGGAAACCCUGACGCAGCGACGCCGCGUGAGUGAGGAAGGCCUUCGGGUCGUAAAGCUCUGUCAAGAGGAAAGAAGUGUACAAUGGCUAAUACCUGUUGUAUUUGACGGUACCUCUAAAGGAAGCACCGGCUAACUCCGUGCCAGCCGCCGC
RNAcentral lists this ribosomal RNA (518 nucleotides) under uncultured bacterium. RNAcentral's name for it is "bacterial SSU rRNA". It matches the Rfam family "Bacterial small subunit ribosomal RNA", at positions 19 to 518 of the family's 1533-position model. The record is from RNAcentral.